GCACAAGCGGUGGAUGAUGUGGAUUAAUUCGAUGCAACGCGAAAACCUUACCUACCCUUGACAUGCCAGGAACUUGCCAGAGAUGGCUUGGUGCCCGAAAGGGAGCCUGGACACAGGUGCUGCAUGGCUGUCGUCAGCUCGUGUCGUGAGAUGUUGGGUUAAGUCCCGCAACGAGCGCAACCCUUGCCAUUAGUUGCUACAUUUAGUUGAGCACUCUAAUGGGACUGCCGGUGACAAACCGGAGGAAGGUGGGGAUGACGUCAAGUCCUCAUGGCCCUUAUGGGUAGGGCUUCACACGUCAUACAAUGGCGGAUACAGAGGGUUGCCAACCCGCGAGGGGAGCCAAUCCCAGAAAGUCCGUCGUAGUCCGGAUUGUAGUCUGCAACUCGACUACAUGAAGUCGGAAUCGCUAGUAAUCGCGGAUUCAGCACUGUCGCGGUAGAUACGUCCGGUCU
RNAcentral lists this ribosomal RNA (455 nucleotides) under uncultured Nitrosomonadaceae bacterium. RNAcentral's name for it is "bacterial SSU rRNA". It matches the Rfam family "Bacterial small subunit ribosomal RNA", at positions 923 to 1377 of the family's 1533-position model. The record is from RNAcentral. Lineage: Bacteria; Pseudomonadati; Pseudomonadota; Betaproteobacteria; Nitrosomonadales; Nitrosomonadaceae.